RNAcentral lists this ribosomal RNA (793 nucleotides) under Oculimacula yallundae. RNAcentral's name for it is "partial large subunit ribosomal RNA". It matches the Rfam family "Eukaryotic large subunit ribosomal RNA", at positions 94 to 904 of the family's 3401-position model. Lineage: Eukaryota; Fungi; Ascomycota; Leotiomycetes; Helotiales; Ploettnerulaceae. The record is from RNAcentral.
UGAAGCGGUAACAGCUCAAAUUUGAAAGCUAGCUCUUUUAGGGUUCGCAUUGUAAUUUGUAGAAGAUGCUUCGGGUGUGGCCCCGGUCUAAGUUCCUUGGAACAGGACGUCAUAGAGGGUGAGAAUCCCGUAUGUGACUGGGUGCUUUCGCUCAUGUGAAGCUCUUUCGACGAGUCGAGUUGUUUGGGAAUGCAGCUCAAAAUGGGUGGUAAAUUUCAUCUAAAGCUAAAUAUUGGCCAGAGACCGAUAGCGCACAAGUAGAGUGAUCGAAAGAUGAAAAGCACUUUGGAAAGAGAGUUAAACAGUACGUGAAAUUGUUGAAAGGGAAGCGCUUGCAACCAGACUUGCGCGCUGAUGAUCAUCCGGGCUUCUGUCCGGUGCACUCGUCUGCGCUCAGGCCAGCAUCGGUUUCGGUGGUGGGAUAAAGGCCUUGGGAAUGUAGCUCCUCUCGGGGAGUGUUAUAGCCCUCGGUGCAAUGCCGCCUAUCGGGACCGAGGACCGCGCUUCGGCUAGGAUGCUGGCGUAAUGGUUGUAAGCGACCCGUCUUGAAACACGGACCAAGGAGUCUAACAUCUAUGCGAGUGUUUGGGUGUCAAACCCAUACGCGUAAUGAAAGUGAACGGAGGUGAGAACCCUUAAGGGUGCAUCAUCGACCGGUCCUGAUGUCUUCGGAUGGAUCUGAGUAAGAGCAUAGCUGUUGGGACCCGAAAGAUGGUGAACUAUGCGUGAAUAGGGUGAAGCCAGAGGAAACUCUGGUGGAGGCUCGCAGCGGUUCUGACGUGCAAAUCGAUCG